AGAUAGAGUUUUCCCUUCGGGGACACUGGUGACAGGUGGUGCAUGGUUGUCGUCAGCUCGUGUCGUGAGAUGUUGGGUUAAGUCCCGCAACGAGCGCAACCCUUAUUGUUAGUUGCUACGCAAGAGCACUCUAGCGAGACUGCCGUUGACAAAACGGAGGAAGGUGGGGACGACGUCAAAUCAUCAUGCCCCUUAUGUCCUGGGCCACACACGUACUACAAUGGUGGUCAACAGAGGGAAGCAAUACCGCGAGGUGGAGCAAAUCCCUAAAAGCCAUCCCAGUUCGGAUCGCAGGCUGCAACCCGCCUGCGUGAAGUUGGAAUCGCUAGUAAUCGCGGAUCAGCAUGCCGCGGUGAAUACGUUCCCGGGCCUUGUACACACCGCCCGUCACACCAUGAGAGUCGGGAACACCCGAAGUCCGUAGCCUAACAGCAAUGGGGGCGCGGCCGAAGGUGGGUUCGAUAAUUGGGGUGAAGUCGUAACAAGGUAGCCGUAUCGGAAGGUGCGGCUGGAUCACCUC
Molecule: ribosomal RNA, 520 nt
Filed under: uncultured bacterium
Lineage: Bacteria
Description: bacterial SSU rRNA
Rfam family: Bacterial small subunit ribosomal RNA
Source: RNAcentral